Molecule: ribosomal RNA, 368 nt
Filed under: uncultured bacterium
Lineage: Bacteria
Description: bacterial SSU rRNA
Rfam family: Bacterial small subunit ribosomal RNA
Source: RNAcentral
UUUCAGCAGUGAGGAAGGUGGGUAUGUUAAUAGCAUACUCAUUUGACGUUUAGCUGCAGAAGAAGCACCGGCUAACUCCGUGCCAGCAGCCGCGGUAAUACGGAGGGUGCGAGCGUUAAUCGGAAUUACUGGGCGUAAAGCGCAUGCAGGUGGUUUGUUAAGUCAGAUGUGAAAGCCCCGGGGCUCAACCUCGGAAUUGCAUUUGAAACUGGCAAACUAGAGUACUGUAGAGGGGGUAGAAUUUCAGGUGUAGCGGUGAAAUGCGUAGAGAUCUGAAGGAAUACCGGUGGCGAAGGCGGCCCCCUGGACAGAUACUGACACUCAGAUGCGAAAGCGUGGGGAGCAAACAGGAUUAGAUACCCUGGUAG